This 468-nucleotide ribosomal RNA is filed under the name uncultured bacterium. RNAcentral's name for it is "partial 16S ribosomal RNA". It matches the Rfam family "Bacterial small subunit ribosomal RNA", at positions 28 to 507 of the family's 1533-position model. The record is from RNAcentral.
GACGAACGCUGGCGGCGUGCUUAACACAUGCAAGUCGAACGGAAAGGCCCUGCUUUUGUGGGGUGCUCGAGUGGCGAACGGGUGAGUAACACGUGCGUAACCUGCCCUUGACUUUGGGAUAACUUCAGGAAACUGGGGCUAAUACCUGAUAGGAGCUCCUGCUGCAUGGUGGGGGUUGGAAAGUUUCGGCGGUUUGGGAUGGACUCGCGGCUUAUCAGCUUGUUGGUGGGGUAGUGGCUUACCAAGGCUUUGACGGGUAGCCGGCCUGAGAGGGGGACCGGCGACAUUGCGACUGAGAUACGGCGCAGACGCCUAUGGGAGGCAGCAGUGGGGAAUAUUGCACAAUGGGCGGAAGCCUGAUGCAGCAACGCCGCGUGCGGGAUGACGGCCUUCGGGUUGUAAACCGCUUUCGACUGUGACGAAGCGUGAGUGACGGUAAUGGGUAAAGAAGCACCGGCUAACUACGUG